GUCGCGCGGUGAGCACGUGACCGGCCAUAAUGGGUGCAUGAAGAAACAAAUGCAGAUAUGAAGUCGAAAAUUUGUUAUUGAGACAAAACGUUUUGCGAUUGAUCAGUGAUUUCAUUGAUACAUCACGAGAUCGUCAGGUUUCUCGUACAUUUCAUAUGCACGCGUGCGCGCGCACGUUGUCGAUGAUUCAUCCAUAAUGAACGCACGUUUCGAUCAUUACAAGCGAUCGAUUGUGUUGAGGUUAUUUAGACGUAGCGGUUUCGUGUCACGUGCGAUCGAAGUAAUUACUAUGUGUUGAUUUUAUUGACUUUGGUUGCAAUCUUUCGUUGACGUAACGCGCAAUAUAUUAAUGUGUCUCGUCUAAUCUUAUAAUAAGCGUGUUUUCAAAUAAACUUAUUAGUCCUUAUUACGUUUACGCGUUCUAAAGACCCAAUGACCUGAGAUGCCUCAACCUUGUUCACCAAAUAUGGUCUUGCGUCAAGGUCUUUGGAGACUCACAGGCCCCGAAGUUGUGCUAUCGCGUCGAGUCACCGGACGUUCUCUUCAGCGAAUGCAACGUGCGUUUCUGUGUAAAUUAUCGUGAGUAAAACGACUCAUGUUGGAGACACAUCAUUCCGUAUGAAUAAACGAAAUUUGCAGGAAUUUAAGUAAAGUGACGAGGAGAAUAAAGGCUUUACAUUUAGUUUCCCAAUGAAGAAUUCGUGGUAGAUAUAUUAAUGCUGGUACUGAUAUUGCAUGUGGCUACGUCAUCGCUGUCUCAUAAUGCUACCAAAAUCCAUAUAAAAUGCGGCGAUAUAAAAUUCAAGCUUGCCUAUGCAAAAAAAAGAUUUUUUUAAUAAGCAGAUUAAAUUUUUACUAAUUUUUAUUGGAAGACAGAUAUUUGUAUACACGUUCUUUAUAAGGAAGAAUUGAUCACUAUCGAUUGAAAAAUAUGUCCUUUCGUCUUUGCAACAUGACACAUCUACAUGGAUUAGUCAUUGCCAGCCCCAAUGUCGCGAGGCUAUGAUCAACGGAACGCAUGCGAAAAGCCAAGGAUUUCGAAACGCGGUCACGGUUCCACCAUUGAACUAUAUGUGUAUCAAACAAAAAUUUAUUAUACGUGAAUGUUCACGAUGCGUUUGACCUGAAAAUGCUUAACUGGAAGUAAGGCGCUGUUAAUACCAUGUGCAUAUGUUCGAUGCCAAGGGGAGAAAACUUCAAUCUCGAAAUUUUCAAUGAUAUUCGGCCGCUGCAUCUAGCUUACUCUAAAUACAAGUUCGACACGUAAUAAUGAUAUCUCUUCAACGAUCUCUCGACGAACGGUUACUUUCUCGGAGGUACGAAAAAGCGGAUUGCUACGGUUUGGAUAACGUCGAAGGAGGCCACGGGGAGGAGGUGGAAGGGAAUCGACCCAGAAGAAAACCUGCUUCCGUCGUGACACCUGUCUACCCGUUAUAUAUACAAGCAUCUCGGCAGGAAUGCAAAAUGAUGAUGUAAGGCAAUGCACUUUAGAUGGCGUCUUGUCUCAUAUUUUAUGGUGUUUGGAGAAAUCGAUGAGAGACGUCUGUAGUGGGUACCACGCCCAAAGUGAGGGAGGGUGAAGGUGUACCGCGACGAACCCCCAUACGGAAACUCGUGGAGCAGCUCUACGGCGCUGUCACAUAUCGAAAAUAAUGUACAAAGUGGGCUAACCUUGAUUCAGAGCUAUCAGAGUUUAUAUAAAUGACUCAAUCUAACUUAA
This is a long non-coding RNA of Linepithema humile (Argentine ant), 1720 nucleotides long. RefSeq lists it as uncharacterized. The record is from RefSeq and is a predicted model, not a curated record. NCBI's taxonomy places the organism in Eukaryota, Metazoa, Arthropoda, Insecta, Hymenoptera, Formicidae.